This is a long non-coding RNA of Choloepus didactylus (southern two-toed sloth), 673 nucleotides long. RefSeq lists it as uncharacterized. NCBI's taxonomy places the organism in Eukaryota, Metazoa, Chordata, Mammalia, Pilosa, Megalonychidae. The record is from RefSeq and is a predicted model, not a curated record. The transcript is spliced from 4 exons.
UCAUGACCGAAGGUGUAGAGACCACCUAAGGGCGUUGCACAUCACAACCCAGAACGACAAGGACCCUGGGCAGUGAGAAUCAGGCCACUACCUUCGUGCCCCAUCAACGGCCGAGACCCACAGCUGGUGAGCCCGGGUCAGCUCCGCCGAGCGGGCCCGCUGGUCGGCUCCAUCCCCAGCCCUUGCUGCCCUCCCACGUGGCCAGCUCAAGCAGCCCAGGAGGCAGAAAACAUUUAUGUUUGUCCUGUGAUUCUUGAACUUUCCCCUGUUCACGCUGGGAUCCACAGGCUGGAUUCCUGCCGAAGGACGAACUUGUCCAGGGCCAGUGGCUGCCCUGCUCACGCCUCCCUGUGACCACACUGACGUCUCCCUCCUUGGGCCUGGGUGCUCUCGAGGAAGGGACCGUGUGACUUCCAGCCACGGCCUGGGACAACCCUCACAUCCACCCACUGGCCUCAGUGCCUGGAGGGAUAAAUGUGCUCACAGAUCACACUCUCCUGGGGCAGCUCUGGAACCUGACAGGAGCCACCUGCCUAAAGCCGUAACCCAAAGGCAAAACCCUGGGGUGGUAGAAAGCCCAGGCUCCGUGACAAGCUCCCACGGCAGGGGGAGGCAGGUGAGUAGCCGGGACUUCAGUCCUGUCACCAGUGAGAUGUCCACCAGCUCAGCCAGG